UGACGCUGGCGGCAGGUCUACACGUGCAUGUCGAGCCGGAGAGAGGUCGCUUGCUACUGAUCUUAGCGGCGGACGUGAGUAAUGCUUAGGAAUCUGACUAUUAGUGGGGGACAACAUUUCGCAAGGAAUGCUAAUACCAGAAUACGUCCUACGGGAGAAAGCAGGGGAUCUUCGGACCUUGCGCUAAUAGAUGAGCCUAAGUCGGAUUAGCUAAUUGGUGGGGUAAAGGCCUACCAAGGCGACGAUCUGUAGCGGGUCUGAAAGGAUGAUCCGCCACACUGGGACUCGAAACACGGACCAGACUCCUACGGGAGGCAGCAGUGGGGAAUAUUGGCCAAUGGGCGCAAAGCAUGGAAUCCCAAGCAAUGCCGAGAUGUGUGAAAAAAUGGCUUAUGGUUGUAAAACACAUUUAAACGACGAGGAGGCACCUUUUACUUAAUACCUUAGAGAUAUUGGACGUUAUCGCCAAAUAAACACCGGUUAACCUGUGCCAGAUAGCGCAGAAUCCGAGGGUGCAGGUAAACGGAUUAUGGGCGUAAACGCGCAUAAGAGGCUAAUAAGUAAAUGUGAAUCCCAAACUAAAAGUGAAUUGAUCGAAACUGGUUAGAAAAAGUGGAGACGAUGU
This 625-nucleotide ribosomal RNA is filed under the name uncultured Acinetobacter sp. RNAcentral describes it as "bacterial SSU rRNA". The stretch from base 6 to 519 matches the Rfam family "Bacterial small subunit ribosomal RNA", at positions 36 to 538 of the family's 1533-position model. Lineage: Bacteria; Pseudomonadati; Pseudomonadota; Gammaproteobacteria; Moraxellales; Moraxellaceae. The record is from RNAcentral.